Coffea eugenioides is the source of this 1346-nucleotide long non-coding RNA. RefSeq lists it as uncharacterized. The record is from RefSeq and is a predicted model, not a curated record. NCBI's taxonomy places the organism in Eukaryota, Viridiplantae, Streptophyta, Magnoliopsida, Gentianales, Rubiaceae. The transcript has 2 exons.
AUGUUCAGUCUUUUAUAUCACUCUAACCUUGUAAAUUUAAUUGGUUACUGUGCUAAUAGGGACCAGAGGCUACUUGUCUAUUAGUUCAUGCCCUUGGGAUUAUUGGAAGAUCAUCUUCUUGGUAUCAUUUCAGGCAUUCUUGUUCAUUAUCUUGUCAAUUAUUUGCGGUUUAGUUAUUGCAUGUUCAUCAAGAAGUCCAUUCCAUUUUUAUGUUGAAUUUACAUGUUUACUGAAAUUUACAAACUGCAUAAACUUUCUCAAGGAAGGCAUGAUGACUGUGUAAGUUUUGUUAGAAAGUUAAUUGGGUUUUUUAUACUUAAACUAACUUUUAUGUUGAAGAGUCCAAAUUUUCGAAAGAACUAAAAAAUAUAUAAACAAUCCUAUUCGCUUAGGCAUGAUGUAAUUCUAGAAGUAAAAGUUUGAAAGAUUACCUUUCUUUAUUGCAAGUAAUUAUGCUAUGCCUGGUUUCAGUCAGUUUGAAUAUAAAUUCUGUGCUGGGUUUCAUUUUUGCUUGAUGAAGGUGUCUAAGCUGCUGGAAUCAGAGAAGUUGAUGCUGAAGGAUCUUAAUCAUGAAUUUGAAGAAAAAUUAAUUCUCUGAGUCAUUAAAAAAAUAGUUAUUAGGUUUUCAAGAUCAGGUUGUAGCAACUUUUUAUUUUUUGAAGCAUAUAUGUCUACAUAAUCUACAAGGAACAUAUGGAUAAGUGGGAGAAGGAGAUUCAAGAACUACGGUUGCUUGGUGCAUCAAAUGAGAAGGCUAAUGCUGGAUAUCUACUUCAGAAUGUUCCUGAUCAAUCUUGGAGAACUUGUGAAAUUUGUGGUGCCCCUGCGAUGAACAUUGCUGAAGAACAAGCAAUUGAGGUGAACAAUGGCACUGGUAUAUAGCUACUGCAGCUUCAACAGCACCUAUGGUCUUCUCCGACACCCGAAGUUACUGCCAUGGUCGUCGUGUCAUGAAUUUUCUUCUUGGGUGCAUGGUUUUUGCCUUUAUAAUCUCAUGGUUUUUUCACUUUAAAAUACUGCCAUGAAUCCAGAAGAGGAGCAGCAUCUGGAUCAGAGCACAAAGAGAUCUUCACAUGUGUGUAAUAGGAAUAGGCAGUAUAGUUUGCAACAAUAGAAGAUUUUAAAUUGUUUGCUACUGGGAUUUUAUUUAUAGUGUGUAAAUUAUGCUGAGGACUCAGUACCAUUUCUUGCUAAUUGUUAGAUUAUAUGCGAGAGAUGAAAUGAUUUGAGGUGUUGUCCUGGUGAUUGAUGACUUCUUCCUCAUUUGGCCACGCACUCCCUGGUGGUAUGGUAGCCUACCUUUUUUUUUUGGUCAAAUGUCAAUGUGGUAGUAACCUCUUAUCUUA